AAUUAACAAGACUGUCACCGUGGUAACUUUGGUAACUUGAAGUUUGAAGCCAAUCUUUGAGAAUACAAAUUGUAUACUGGGGGAAUUCAUAUAAUGUGCUUUAAAAAUACUGUCAUUUCUUUUUUAACAUUUUCAGCAUGAAGGCAAUCAGAUCUUAGAACAGGUGGUCCACUGAAGUUGUGUGAGUCCGGUGAAGUUAUGAAAUCUCCACCCUAAUGGUUGGACAAGCCUUUAAUCUAACUGCACCUGAUAGAAGGUUUAACUAUAGAUCUCCCUCAGUCCCUGUCAAACCUGAAUUACCUAGUGGUUCUCUGUACUAUAAACAAGACGAUCAGAGGAAAAGAUGAGGAAAGGAGAAAAAAACUGGAAAGCCUAUCUUUGUCAACAUCCAAAGGCAUCUCUGUAGCUGCAGAUAUCUUAGUGUUUCCAUUUUUCUGUCUUUUUAGGGGGAAAGACAAGUCCAUGUUCUCUGUCAGCUCUUGGAAACAGUGUAAGGGGAGACUGGCUGAAUUUGCUGACACAGUGAAGCUUCAGCUAAAUGUUAGCUGAAGUUUCCUUCCUCUGUGUCAACACUUCCAUAGUGGGGAUUUAGAUUGCCUAUCUGGACUAGAUAUCCUCAGGCAAAGAAGCAGGAUGAGAUUCCUGGCUGGAGGCGUUUCCAUCCUUAUCUUUGCGUUCUACAUCAUCAUAGUACUCCACCAGCGGAGUGCUUCUGAGGUAUUUUUGUUGAGUAUUCACAAAACAUCAUUUUUUUUCCAAAUGUUUGAGGGAUGGAAAAAAUUUAACAAUCCUUUGUUUCCUAUAGCAUGCUACAAAAUGUGCGUACUGAUAUAAGGAGAAUCAUAGUAAGCAUCAUGAAUGAAUCUUUGCUUCAAGUCAUUUCUCACUCGAACUUUAUGCUGCAUAGCAUGCACCAAAUACAGCCUUCAGCAUUAUGGUCUUGGUCUAGGAAAAGAUAUUAUGCAGAGAUGUACAUAAUGCCUAUGAACUAUGGCUGAUGACAGAGCUACAAAAGAUAUUAGAGCCUGGUAGGGUUCUAAUAGUUUAAGAAAGCAUUUUCUCCAUUAAUAGUACUGUAAUUAACAGCUGAAAUAAACAAUAUGGGUAAGACCAAUAUUAAUAAACUAUUUCAAAGUUUUCUGUAGUAGUAAAACAAUAAAAAAGAAUAGAUCUGGAAGGUGGAGACCUUGUUUAAAACUCAGAGCAGAUGUCACGGCCAGACAAAACCUCUGCUCUCCCAGGGAAAGCAACUGAUGUGCUGCAAAACUGCCAACUACAACUACAAGAGCUGGGGAAAAAAAAAAAAAAAAAAAAAAAAGACCUGUUUCUGCAGGUUUUAAGGAAUCAUCUUGACCUUUGUGUCUUGAGAACAUCGCUGGUUGUGACUGAUUCACUCUGAGAUAGUCCCCGUGUGUCAGACAGACACAAUGCAGCUGUUCUCCUUCAAGUCUGUGCACCGAAUAAGAGAAAUGCUGAUGAGGACUUUGGGUAAAAUGAGGUAUUGUUGCAGUAAAGUUUGUUUCUGAGUGUGAUACAGCUGGAUUUUGUAACACUCUUCAGUUUUACUCAGUCAGAUUUUCCCCUCCUACUCAUACAAGGAAAUCUCCCUUUGUUCCCAAAGGUUGUUCCUCCCAAAAAGUAUACAGCCAUCUGCACUUUACCCUUGUGUUUCAGUUCUCCACUGGAAAAGCAACUUUGAGCACUGCUCAGAGGGCUUUUUAGGAGCACUUCCAGCAGAGCAUUCUGGGAAAUAGCUCCGAAGGUUCUCUUGUACUCAGUCCUGGCUAAUCUCCAGCUAACCUCUCCAGUGCUGGUGCUUGGCUUGACCAGCAGUGGUUUGACUUAGGAGGCAAGAUGUCCCUGGCAUUGUGAGGCUCGAGGUCUCUCUUCCUUGGUGGUUUCAUGCACAACUUACUUAUGGAUCAUGUCCCAAAGAAGAACAUACAAGGCCACAUAGCGGGAAAGAGGAACACACAGGGAGUACUGGAUGCAUGUAAGCUUGGUGUGACACAUCAGUGAGAACACGAG
Long non-coding RNA from Gallus gallus (chicken), 2028 nucleotides. Lineage: Eukaryota; Metazoa; Chordata; Aves; Galliformes; Phasianidae. The record is from Ensembl.